CGAAACUUCAAAUAAUAAGUCAGCUGGUCUCAUAUUUUUAAAGUAGAUAAACACAAAAUAUUAUGAAAGAAGUUAAUAUAGGAAACGAUACUACGCUGGCCGCAGUGACGUCAAGCGAGAGUGAAAUGCUUUGAUGAAAUUGUUUGUAUUUUGCUAUUCGUAGUGCUUAAAAGCAAAACAGAGAGAGAGAGAGAGGGAGAGCUUUUAUACAGUCGCGGAGUUGGCUUCAAACGAGUAGUAAGUCAGCUGCGCCUGAUAUUCAAAAUAAAUAAAAAACACAAGCAAUUAUGGAAGAAGUUAAUACAGAAAUAGAGACAACACUGGCCGCAGUCACGUCGAAAGCAAAGGUAUUGGCAAUUGGAGAUGGUGAGAGAUGUGACAAGUCCAAAAAUAAUGCGGUAAAAGACAAUGACACGAAGAACUUUAUGGCUGACUGCUUAAAUCAUGUUAGUCGACUUUUAUUGAGUGGUCUAACUCCUAUAGAAGCUCGACGUGAUUGGCCCUGGGAGGUCUUGGAGAUUAAGUUUAUUAGGGAAGAUAACCAGUUGAAACGCUGUCAUUUUCAUUGCUAUCGCUCACGAAAAUAUUUGCAUGAUUAUUGUACUGACCUAAAGCAUGUCUGCAUAUACAAUGCAGAGCUCGGACUGCAUGAAAUAAGGAAACGAUUGAAGAGCGAAAAUUGGAUAUCAAGAUACGUGUUGGAACUGCCACUCAAAACAAAGCUUGAUCCUGAAAUAUAUGGGACCGGUGAAACUGCCAUUUGGGGUGUAUGUAAUUCUGUUGUUUCUGAUAAUCGAAACGAUGUGUUUCGUUUCCUGCAUUUUUUACACAAGCAAUAUGUUGAAGAAAAGGCGAAAAAAUAAAUUUCUUGUGAGCAGUUUUAAAA
Drosophila grimshawi is the source of this 886-nucleotide RNA transcript. RefSeq lists it as uncharacterized. NCBI's taxonomy places the organism in Eukaryota, Metazoa, Arthropoda, Insecta, Diptera, Drosophilidae. The record is from RefSeq and is a predicted model, not a curated record. The transcript has 3 exons.